CCCUGGCUCUUUCAAACCCUGGGUUUGUUUUUAAAUGAUGAUGAAGGCCAAACAUUACUUUUGUUACUUAGGAAAAGACUUUGUACGUUUGUAAGAGAUCAAACCUAAAUUUUUGGUUAUGUUACUUCUUACUGCAAUUGGCUUUUAAAUGUUCCAACCUUAAGUCACUAUUUAUCUUGUUAUAGGUGGGCAGUCUCUUCUGUUAUGACGAGGCAAAACCAAAUUCCCACAGAGGAUGGUUCCCGCGUGACCCUGGCUCUGAUUCCUUUAUGGGAUAUGUGUAACCACACCAACGGCCUGAAGAACUGAAAGAACACUUGCUGGGAGACAGCGCUAUUGAUAGAAUCUUCACCUUGGGGAACUCGGAAUUUCCUGUUAGCUGGGACAACGAGGUCAAACUUUGGACAUUUCUUGAAGAUAGAGCCUCACUUCUUUUAAAAACAUAUAAAACAACUAUUGAGGAAGAUAAAUCCGUCUUGAAAAACCAGGAUCUUUCUGUUCGUGCAAAAAUGGCCAUCAAAUUGCGCUUAGGUGAGAAAGAGAUUUUGGAAAAAGCAGUAAAGAGUGCAGCUGUCAACCGGGAAUACUAUCGCCAACAGAUGGAGGAAAAGGCUCCGCUUCCCAAAUAUGAAGAGAGUAACCUUGGGCUGUUGGAGAGCAGCGUGGGGGACUCGAGGCUCCCCCUGGUCUUGAGAAACCUCGAGGAGGAGGCUGGAGUGCAGGAUGCCUUGAACAUCAGAGAGGCAAUCAGCAAAGCAAAGGCCACAGAAAACGGGCUUGUAAAUGGUGAAAACUCUAUCCCUAAUGGGACCAGGUCUGAAAAUGAAAGUCUCAAUCAAGAAAGUAAAAGAGCAG
Molecule: small RNA, 855 nt
Filed under: Pan troglodytes (chimpanzee)
Lineage: Eukaryota; Metazoa; Chordata; Mammalia; Primates; Hominidae
Description: retained intron
Source: RNAcentral